AACGAACGCUGGCGGCAGGCCUAACACAUGCAAGUCGAACGCCCGUAGCAAUACGGGAGUGGCAGACGGGUGAGUAACGCGUGGGAACGUGCCCUUCGGUUCGGAGUAACUCAGGGAAACUUGAGCUAAUACCGGAUACGUCCGUAAGGAGAAAGAUUUAUCGCCGAAGGAUCGGCCCGCGUCGGAUUAGCUAGUUGGUGAGGU
This 204-nucleotide ribosomal RNA is filed under the name uncultured bacterium. RNAcentral describes it as "partial 16S ribosomal RNA". It matches the Rfam family "Bacterial small subunit ribosomal RNA", at positions 29 to 258 of the family's 1533-position model. The record is from RNAcentral.